AUUGAACGCUGGCGGCAGGCCUAACACAUGCAAGUCGAACGGUAACAGGAAGAAGCUUGCUUCUUUGCUGACGAGUGGCGGGCGGGUGUGAAAUGUCUGGGAAACUGCCUGAUGGAGGGGGAUACCUACUGGAACCGGUAGCUAAUACGGCAUAACGUCGCAAGACCAAAGAGGGGGACCUUCGGGCCUCUUGCCAUCGGAUGUGCCCCGAUGGGAUUAGCUAGUAGGUGGGGUUACGGCUCACCUAGGCGACGAUCCCUAGCUGGUCUGAGAGGAUGACCCGCCCCACUGGAACUGGGAACCCGUCCCGACUUCUACGGGAGGCAGGAGGGGGGAAUAUUGCCCAAUUGGGCCAAACCUGAUCCAGGCAACGCGCGUGUAUGAAGAAGGCCUUCCGGUUCUUAAGUACUUUCAGCGGGGAGGAAGGGAGUAAAGUUAAUACCUUUCCUAAUUGACGUUACCCGAAGCAGAAGCACCGGCUAACUCCGUU
Molecule: ribosomal RNA, 490 nt
Filed under: uncultured bacterium
Lineage: Bacteria
Description: partial 16S ribosomal RNA
Rfam family: Bacterial small subunit ribosomal RNA
Source: RNAcentral